CAACAGGGAUUACCUCAGUAACGGCGAGUGAAGCGGUAAUAGCUCAAAUUUGAAAUCUGGCUCUUUCAGGGUCCGAGUUGUAAUUUGUAGAGGAUGUUUCGGGCACGGUUACGGUUUAAAUUUCUUGGAACAGAAUGUCAAAGAGGGUGAGAGUCCCGUCUUGAACCGAUUACUUCGUCCAUGUGAAACUCCUUCGACGAGUCGAGUUGUUUGGGAAUGCAGCUCAAAAUGGGUGGUAAAUUUCAUCUAAAGCUAAAUAUUGGCCAGAGACCGAUAGCGCACAAGUAGAGUGAUCGAAAGAUGAAAAGCACUUUGAAAAGAGAGUUAAACAGUAUGUGAAAUUGUUGAAAGGGAAGCGCUUGCAAUCAGACUUGAGCUUAACGGUUCCCCCUUCGUUCUCGAUGGGUUAUUCCGUUUUGUCCAGGCCAACAUCAGUUCGGGUGGUUAGUUAAAGACUUUAGGAAUGUAUCUACCCUCCGGGGUCGACUUAUAGCCUAGAGUGUCAUGUAGCCUACCUGGACUGAGGAACGCGCUUCGGCUCGGAUGUUGGCGUAAUGGUUGUAAGCGACCCGUCUUGAAACACGGACCAAGGAGUCUAACAUCUAUGCGAGUUUUAGAGUUUCAAACUCUGAGGCGUAAUGAAAGUGAACGGAGGUAAGAAGCCUUUAGGCUGCAUUAUCGACCGAUCUUGAUGUCUUCGGAUGGAUUUGAGUAAGAGCAUAGCUGUUGGGACCCGAAAGAUGGUGAACUAUGCCUGAAUAGGGUGAAGCCAGAGGAAACUCUGGUGGAGGCUCGCAGCGGUUCUGACGUGCAAAUCGAUCGUCAAAUUUGGGUAU
This 836-nucleotide ribosomal RNA is filed under the name Cladophialophora globosa. RNAcentral's name for it is "Cladophialophora sp. XZL-2018c partial large subunit ribosomal RNA". It matches the Rfam family "Eukaryotic large subunit ribosomal RNA", at positions 66 to 918 of the family's 3401-position model. Lineage: Eukaryota; Fungi; Ascomycota; Eurotiomycetes; Chaetothyriales; Herpotrichiellaceae. The record is from RNAcentral.